AUUGAACGCUGGCGGCAGGCCUAACACAUGCAAGUCGAGCGGAUGAAGGGAGCUUGCUCCUGGAUUCAGCGGCGGACGGGUGAGUAAUGCCUAGGAAUCUGCCUGGUAGUGGGGGAUAACGUCCGGAAACGGGCGCUAAUACCGCAUACGUCCUGAGGGAGAAAGUGGGGGAUCUUCGGACCUCACGCUAUCAGAUGAGCCUAGGUCGGAUUAGCUAGUUGGUGGGGUAAAGGCCUACCAAGGCGACGAUCCGUAACUGGUCUGAGAGGAUGAUCAGUCACACGGGAAGAGAGACACGGUCCAGACUCCUACGGGAGGCAGCAGUGGGGAAUAUUGGACAAUGGGCGAAAGCCUGAUCCAGCCAUGCCGCGUGUGUGAAGAAGGUCUUCGGAUUGUAAAGCACUUUAAGUUGGGAGGAAGGGCAGUAAGUUAAUACCUUGCUGUUUUGACGUUACCAACAGAAUAAGCACCGGCUAACUUCGUG
This 484-nucleotide ribosomal RNA is filed under the name uncultured bacterium. RNAcentral describes it as "partial 16S ribosomal RNA". It matches the Rfam family "Bacterial small subunit ribosomal RNA", at positions 30 to 507 of the family's 1533-position model. The record is from RNAcentral.